AGUUAAUAAGCUUAUACAAGCUUAUAUUUUGAAAAUAUAAAAAAAAGGUUUAACUCCUUUAUUAACUU
Molecule: transfer RNA, 68 nt
Filed under: Mecomma ambulans
Lineage: Eukaryota; Metazoa; Arthropoda; Insecta; Hemiptera; Miridae
Description: tRNA-Ser
Rfam family: tRNA
About the family: Transfer RNA (tRNA) molecules are approximately 80 nucleotides in length.
Source: RNAcentral